AGAGAUGUAGCUCAGUGGUAGAGUAUUGUCCUAUCAAGUGUGAGGCCCUGGGUUUGAUUUCCAGCAUCACAA
Molecule: non-coding RNA, 72 nt
Organism: Ictidomys tridecemlineatus (thirteen-lined ground squirrel)
Lineage: Eukaryota; Metazoa; Chordata; Mammalia; Rodentia; Sciuridae
Source: Rfam